UGUAAUCCAGGGCUGGGGAUGUGGCUCAAGCGGUAGCGCGCUCGCCUGGCAUGUGUGCGGCAGGGGUUCGAUCCUCAGCACCACAUAACAAAGAUGUUGUGUCCGCCGAAAACUAAAAAAAAAAAAAUGUAACCAAAUGUGAGAGAUGCAACUGAAGCAGUCUUUUGAGGGAAAUUUAUACAAAUAAUAAUGAAACUACAAUACACAAGUUAUGCCAAGAAGUCAAUUUGAUAAUGACACAAAAUGAAUAAAUACUUUUAAAGGCACAACUGGACAAAUUGAAUCAAGACAAAAUAAGAAAUGUGAACCCAUACAUGUAAAUUAAACAAAUUAAAUUCAUAAUUUCAAAUAUUCCAGGGGGCCAGGCACAAUGGUGCACACUUGUAAUCCCAGCUACUUGGGAGGCUAAGCCAGGAGGAUUAUACAUUCAAGGCCAGCCUCAGCAACUUAGCAAGGCCCUAAGUAACUUGGAGAGACCCUGUCUUCAAAUAAAAAAAAAGAACUGGGGAUGUCGCUCAGUGGUUAAGUGGCCCUAGGUUCAAUUCCCAGUACCAAAUACAUAUAAUAUAUAUGUAUAUACAUGUAUAUAUUUAUUUAUAUGUAUAUACAUAAGGAUAUCUAUAGUGUGUGUGCGUGACACAUGCAUCCAUACCAGGGGCUAGGGACAUAGCCCUGAGGUAGAAUGCUUGCCUAGCAUGUGAAAAGCCCUGAGUUUAGUCUCCAGCACACACACACAUACAUAAACAAACAACAAACAAACAAAAAACAUAAUGUAAAAAUAUUCCACAAAGAAAAUUCCAGGCUCAGAUGGCUCACUGGUAAAUUCAAUCACUGCUCUAAGAAUAAACACCAAUCUUACACAAACUCCUCAAAAAAAUUAGAGGAGGGAAAAAUAGUUCCCAAAUAAUUUGAUGAGGUUAAUAUCACCCUGAUACAAGACCAGACAAAUAGAUCAAAAGGAAACUUCAUCUGUGUCACGAGGGGGCAAAAUUGUGACAUAUGCAGUCGAGGGGAGAAAUAAAGAAUGUCCACAUGCUUCUGCUCCUUCCAUUGCUUUAUUCACUCAAAUUACUCAAUACAAUUUCACUCUAUAGGUUCUUAAUCAAGAAAAUGACAAUCCUUAAUGCUAGGCACUGCAAUAGACAUAAUGAAUUCACAGCAAACAAUUCUAGAUUAAUUCUAAGCACUGAAAAGCACACUUAAUCACGUUAGGCUAAUGACAGACUUUCCUCUGCAUGCUAAGUUCAAAAGUCUUAAGCCUUAGGCUUUAAGUCCAGCAGAUGCACACUCACUCAGACCACGGUGACCAGAUCCAGAACCAAGGCAGGCUUUUCCUGGAGUGGAGUGGAUGACCAGUUGAGGAGGUGGUCGUAGGGAGGAGUUGCAACUCUCACCAAGGUCCAGACAAGGCCGCAGAGUUUGAGAGCUGUGAGGAUCACGCAGAGGCUCAGGAACAAGUGAUGGAAGACAGGUCCUCAUCAGGCUCUUCAGCUCAAGUGCAUCCUUGUUUCAGCUGGCUGAAUCUCUGUUCAUUUGCUCUAUCAUUUAUACUAAAUUUGGGGGCUUUUGACCCCCCUUUCAAUCCUUAUCAGCUACCACCAGAUUUCUCAGUGACAUCAUUUACCCUGGGGUCAGAAACAUUGAUCUGGUGGUCUCCACCCUGAUCUUCUAGCCAUUCCAUCUUAUCAUCAGGUGAGCACAGCCUGCCAGAGGCUUCACUCUCUUCAUAAGGGUUAGGGGAAGUAACUUGUUUGAGGCCAUACUGGAGGGAUCUGUGGGUGUUGCCUGGUGAGACUGCAGGUCAAACUGGAGUUUUUAAAAUGGAGUUGUUUAGGCUCAGGCCUCAGACCAUCCUAAAAGUCUGCCAAUCUCUGGUAUGAGUACAGAUCCUCCAGUCAAUACUCUAUUCUACCAAAGAAUAAAGAGCUAAAAAACUGGAAUCAACAACUCUUCCUAGACAAGAAAGGUCACAGGGGAAAUGGUUAUCCCCAGAAUUAGAGAAACAGACAGGUAGACAGAAUCAUAACUUACCAUCACAGAAAACAGAAGGAAUCAGUUACAGGUAUGGCUACAAAAACCUAAAAUGUAAUUGACAAAUAGGCGGAGGCUCCAUUUAGAGAAAUGAGACAUAAAGGCUACAAGGGAGGACUGGGGAUGUAGCUCAGUGGUAGAGCAUUUCUCUAAGGUUCAUGAGGACCCAGAUUCAAUCCCCAGCACAGAAAAAAUAAAUAAAAACAAAAACUCAAGGGAGAUCCCUGAAAGUUUUAUCAAUUUUACCUGCAGGAGUUUUAUCAGGUUCUCAUAGUGAAGAUGAGAAGAAAAAUAUCCUCCAUCUUCCUUUUACUAAAGGAGAAAAACUAUAGAUAGUUUUUUUUCCUGAGAUAUAAUAUUUGUACAUCUUUAAGGCUACAAUAUAAUAGUUUGAUACAUAUGUACAAUGUAUAAUGAUUGCUACUGUUUAAAUAUUAGGUGUCCCCCCCAAAAGCUCAUGCCUGAGACAAUGCAAGAAAGUUCAGAAGUGAAAUGAUAGGGUUAUGUGAACCCUAACCUAAUCAGUAAAUUAAUCUCCUGACAGGGAUUAACUGGGUGAUAUCCAUAGACAAAUAGAGUUUGGCUAGAGGAGAUGGGUCACUGAGGGUUGAGACUUGGGGUAUAUAUUUUGUAUUUAACAAGUGGAGAGCCCUCUCUCUGCUUCCUGUUGCCAUGUUCUCAGCUGCUUUCCCCUCCACAUACUUCUACCAGGAUAUUCUGUAACACUUUGGGCCCAGAGCAACAGAGUUGGCCAUUUAUGGACUGAGGCCUCUGAAACCAUGAGGCCCCAAAUAAACUUUUCCCCCUUUAAUUGUUUUUGUCAGGAUUUUUUAUCACAGCAGCAAAAAAGAAAAAAAAAAAACUGACAAAAACAAUAAUAAAAUCAGCACUUUCCUCAAACAUUAGUCACUUCUAUGUGUUGAGAACUUUUAUACUCUUCUAGUUAUUUUGAAAUAUACCACAGUCAUUAUAAUCAAUAGUUAACCUACUGUACUAUAGAAAACCAAGAUGAAAUCCUUAUAUUUAACCAUGUUUUGGUGCCCCUAUGUAAGGUUUUCCGCUUUCCUUCCCCUCUGUCCAUGGGAUUCACAUUUUAGUUUGCACAAAUAAGUGAGAAAAAAAUGAGUAUUUUAAAAUGUGACAGAAUAUUCUGUUCGCAUUAAUAAGGGCUGCUCUCAAGAGAUGCCAUUUACCAGAUUCUGGUGAUGGUAACCAAUCUGGAGGAACGAUAAAUACUCAGCUCCAGCCUGCCAUAGCCUUCCAUGAGCUAAAAGAACUUUUCAAGAGUAAUCACCUUGGAGACCAAAGUGGAUUUAAA
This 3349-nucleotide long non-coding RNA is filed under the name Marmota monax (woodchuck). The record is from RNAcentral. Lineage: Eukaryota; Metazoa; Chordata; Mammalia; Rodentia; Sciuridae.